AAAUAGAUACCUAGGUAGUCCACGCCGUAAACGAUGAGUGCUAAGUGUUAGAGGGUUUCCGCCCUUUAGUGCUGCAGCUAACGCAUUAAGCACUCCGCCUGGGGAGUACGGUCGCAAGACUGAAACUCAAAGGAAUUGACGGGGGCCCGCACAAGCGGUGGAGCAUGUGGUUUAAUUCGAAGCAACGCGAAGAACCUUACCAGGUCUUGACAUCCUCUGACAACUCUAGAGAUAGAGCGUUCCCCUUCGGGGGACAGAGUGACAGGUGGCGCAUGGUUGUCGUCAGCUCGUGUCGUGAGAUGUUGGGUUAAGCCCCGCAACGAGCGCAACCCUUGAUCUUAGUUGCCAGCAUUUAGUUGGGUACUCUAAGGUGACUGCCGGUGACAAACCGGAGGAAGGUGGGGAUGACGUCAAAUCAUCAUGCCCCUUAUGGCCUGGGCUACACACGUGCUACAAUGGAUGGUACAAAGGGCUGCAAGACCGCGAGGUCAAGCCAAUCCCAUAAAACCAUUCUCAGUUCGGA
Molecule: ribosomal RNA, 523 nt
Filed under: uncultured bacterium
Lineage: Bacteria
Description: bacterial SSU rRNA
Rfam family: Bacterial small subunit ribosomal RNA
Source: RNAcentral